RNAcentral lists this long non-coding RNA (294 nucleotides) under Nicotiana benthamiana. Its description in RNAcentral is "long non-coding RNA (NBEN_LNC002450)". The record is from RNAcentral. Lineage: Eukaryota; Viridiplantae; Streptophyta; Magnoliopsida; Solanales; Solanaceae.
UUCAACGAGUUUUUCUUUCCUCUAGUACAUUCUAUUACAUGUGAUUUGUUAGGUAUUCCUAUGUUUUAUUGUUUUCAACCCCUAUACUAGUUGGAUUAAAUUUUGGGUAAAACAAUCUUUGAGUUACUUGCUUCAAUCACUUUAUUCUCUACAUAACAAAUAACAAUAUACAUCAAGGUGGACGAUAUAACCUGUAGGCACCGAACUUGCGAGUUAUAGUUAUGUUCUGAGGUGCGGAAGAGAAGCUUGGUGUCUGUUUGAGGAAUUGAUGGUUCAUAGAUAAGCGAUGCAAAC